UGGGGAAUCUUCCGCAAUGGACGAAAGUCUGACGGAGCAACGCCGCGUGUAUGAUGAAGGUCUUCGGAUUGUAAAGUACUGUCAUUGGGGAAGAACGGUUUCUUGAAAAGAUUGAGAAGACAUGACGGUACCCAAGGAGGAAGCCCCGGCUAACUACGUGCCAGCAGCCGCGGUAAUACGUAGGGGGCAAGCGUUGUCCGGAAUUAUUGGGCGUAAAGGGCGCGUAGGCGGGCCUUUAAGUCCGGUGUGAAAGAUCAGGGCUCAACCCUGAGAGUGCAUCGGAAACUGGAGGCCUUGAGGACAGGGAGAGGAAAGUGGAAUUCCACGUGUAGCGGUGAAAUGCGUAGAUAUGUGGAGGAACACCAGUGGCGAAGGCGACUUUCUGGACUGUAACUGACGCUGAGGCGCGAAAGCGUGGGGAGCAAACAGGAUUAGGAUACCCUGGUAGUCCACGCCGUAAACGAUGAGUGCUAGGUGUAGAGGGUAUCGACCCCUUCUGUGCCGCAGUUAACACAAUAAGCACUCCGCCUGGGGAGUACGGCCGCAAGGUUGAAACUCAAA
This 561-nucleotide ribosomal RNA is filed under the name uncultured bacterium. RNAcentral describes it as "partial 16S ribosomal RNA". It matches the Rfam family "Bacterial small subunit ribosomal RNA", at positions 355 to 905 of the family's 1533-position model. The record is from RNAcentral.